CAGCAUGUGGCCUUGGCCCAGUGCCUCCUUGCAGUCUGUGGAUUGUGCAACUGCCUUCUGUGGCUCAGGGACAUGACAGCCCCAUCCAGCUUAUAAAUGACUGAAGACAGAGAUCCAGCAUAGUCUUCAUUUGAAUUCUCUGAGACAGGACCUCACUCCGUUACGCAGGCUGGAGUUCAAUGCCACAGUCAUUACUUCACUGCAGCCUCAAACUCCUGGGCUUAAGCAAUCCUCCCGCCUCAGCCUCCUGAUUAGGUAAGACUAUAGGUGCACACCAUCACACUCAGCUAGUUUUUAGUAGAGGCAGGGUUCUCACUAUGUUGCCCAGGCUCGUCUUGAACUCCUGGCCUCAAGCAAUCCUCCCACCAUGGCCUUCCAAAGUGCUGAGAUUAUAAGUGUGAGCCACCAUGCCUAGCCUACUGACAUUGUUUUUCAACUUCUUAGUUUCUUUAAGGGUGUUUUCUCUUUAUUUUAUCUUGAUGACCCACCGCUUUCACAAGUCAAUGAAAACAAUAUACUGGCUUGGUGAAAACAGUUCCAGAUCCACCUGAAGAGACUUGGGUGCUCUGGGUUUCAGAAAGGCCAGGGUUAAAUGUGCACCCGGGCCCCUGGUGGCUGCACUUGCCUACCGCAGACUACUAAAUGCUAAUGGAGCAAACUCCAGUUGCUGAUCCAUCCUAGAGCUGGAGUCUUCACUCUGCUGAUUCAAAAGAACACCAGAGCAUUUUCUAACCUGUACACAAAUCUGCUCUGUGGAUGGGAACCCUACUACCCUCUCCUGCACACAACCACUUCAGUCAGUGUGCUCAAAUAGUUCUCACUUGAUCAUUUUUGAGGGAAAUACCAGGCACAAUUUAGUUGUUUUAAUCCUAAGAGAAAAAUGUUGGUUUCUGCUGAGUCAGUAUCUGGUAUUUUAACUAGCUUAGCUUUCCCUGCGGCUCAGGCCAAGGGUGUGCCUUCCUGGAGUGAAGGACUUUCACAGCCCAGCUCUCUGGUAUGGACCCAAUGUCACUGACUACUGAUUCUGCUCAGGCCUCUGGAAAGCCCCUUUGGAAGUUGGGUGUAGCCAUGUGGCUUUCUUGAAUCAGUGAAAUGUGAGCAAAUUGAUGGUGUCGCUUCUGGGCAGAAGUGGUGAGAUCCAGGAAUCCGACAGGCCACCCACCCACUCCCUGCAUUCUCAUUUCCUGCCUUGGUAAUUGUAAAAGGAUGUUCUGUGAUGUUGUUGCCUGAAUUAGGCAGGGACAAUAAAUACAUUUUUUGGACGGGUAAAAAAUAUCUUCCAUUCCUAAUGUUAAAAAAUAUUCUUCU
This 1308-nucleotide long non-coding RNA is filed under the name Homo sapiens (human). RNAcentral's name for it is "HSALNT0177990". Lineage: Eukaryota; Metazoa; Chordata; Mammalia; Primates; Hominidae. The record is from RNAcentral.